Molecule: long non-coding RNA, 1043 nt
Organism: Oryzias melastigma (Indian medaka)
Lineage: Eukaryota; Metazoa; Chordata; Actinopteri; Beloniformes; Adrianichthyidae
Exons: 2
Source: RefSeq, a predicted model, not a curated record
ACUGUAAACCCGAAUGUUCAAAGUAAUUAAAUAUAAUGAGUAACUAAUACUCAAAGUUCCCAAAAAAGCGCUAUUAACUUAAUCGUAUGAAGUUUGUGUAACACAUUCCCUCUUUUUGAGUACGUGUAACUAACAAUUUUUAAUUAAAAAUAAAAUAUGUUUAAGUUAAGUAAAUUAAACCUAAAAACAUAAUUAAUGUAUAUUUUUUUGAAUUAAGUAAUCAUGUUCUGUAUUUCGUAUUUCUGUUUUUCUAAUAGGUUGGUUAAAGAAUUUGUUGCCCCGCAUACUCGCAGAUUUUGUCCUCAAGUGUUUGUCAUUAAUUUUUUUAUAAAUAAAUACAUUAAUUAAUUAAUGAUUAUAAAAACAAAAAAAAAGAAAACACAAAAAUACGAAAAAUUGUUAGCAAUUAAUCUAAAUGUUAUUUCAUAUUAUUGUUAUUGUUUUUGAAGAAAAACGUCGAAGAAGGAAAAAAAACUGGUGAAACCAAUUUUGUUUGGUUUUCGUAUAUUUUCUUUUAUUUUGAAAAGCUACGCAGUCUCUGGCUGACGGUCAAAAUUCAAUUCGUUUUGCAUUCUGUCAGACGCUCAUCAGGGCGGGGCCUUCCACCUCCCAACAUUUGCUAAAUCCCGCCCCCACUUCUUUACUCAACUAACCAAUGGAGUUGUUUGGUGUCGGAGGUUAGAGGAGAGAAUGCUAGCUUCUAUCUGCUAAAGAGUUAGCUUCUGUCUGGAGAACUUGCAGUUCAACCGCUGUGUGACAGCACUAAAAGAGAUUUUGGAGUGAAUCUUUAGGGCUGCAGUGAACUUCAGACAGCAGCGGUCCGCAACCCAGGUCGAGUUUGAUGAGCCGGAGCUUGAUGGUGUCGCAGUGGGGCUUCUUACUGUCAUCAAUGACCAGGACUCAAGUCCAGUGCACUACGAGCCUGUAAAAAUCUCUGUUGUGAUGGAAAGUGAUGAAGUGGUCAGCCUCCCCAGAUUCAGUGAUGCCUUCGUGGUAAUGUUUGGACUCAUCUAUGCAAUGCACCUUAAAUAUCCUAAACCACU